RNAcentral lists this ribosomal RNA (463 nucleotides) under uncultured bacterium. RNAcentral's name for it is "partial 16S ribosomal RNA". It matches the Rfam family "Bacterial small subunit ribosomal RNA", at positions 28 to 507 of the family's 1533-position model. The record is from RNAcentral.
GAUGAACGCUGGCAGAAUGCUUAACACAUGCAAGUCUUUGGCGAAUCUGUGCUUGCACAGGCUAGCCAAGGCGGACGGGUGAGUAACGCGUAAAGAACAUGCCCUGCAGACAGGGAUAACAGACGGAAACGACUGAUAAUACCCGAUACAGUCGCCGGCACGCAUGUGCCUGGCAAUGAAAAGGGAUGCUGCAGGAGAGCUUUGCGUCCUAUUAGCUUGUUGGUGAGGUGAGGGCUCACCACGGCGAUGAUAGGUAGCCGGCCGGAGCGGGUGAACGGCCACGAGGGGACUGAGAUACGGCAGUGACGACUACGGGAGGCAGCAGUGGGGAAUAUUGGACCAUGAGGGCAUCCCUGAUCCAGCAAUUCGGUGUGCACGGAGAAGGUUUUCGGAUUGUAAAGCGCUUUCAGAAGAGAAGGAGAAAGUGACGGUACCUGCAGAAGAAGCGACGGCUAACUACGUG